UCUUCGAUAGCUCAGUUGGUAGAGUGGAGGACUGUAGAUCCUUAGGUCGCUGGUUUGACUCUGGCUCGAAGGA
RNAcentral lists this transfer RNA (73 nucleotides) under Petromyzon marinus (sea lamprey). Its description in RNAcentral is "tRNA-Tyr (GTA) (tRNA-Tyr-GTA-27-1)". It matches the Rfam family "tRNA". Rfam says of the family: Transfer RNA (tRNA) molecules are approximately 80 nucleotides in length. Their secondary structure includes four short double-helical elements and three loops (D, anti-codon, and T loops). Further hydrogen bonds mediate the characteristic L-shaped molecular structure. tRNAs have two regions of fundamental functional importance: the anti-codon, which is responsible for specific mRNA codon recognition, and the 3' end, to which the tRNAs corresponding amino acid is attached (by aminoacyl-tRNA synthetases). tRNAs cope with the degeneracy of the genetic code in two manners: having more than one tRNA (with a specific anti-codon) for a particular amino acid; and 'wobble' base-pairing, i.e. permitting non-standard base-pairing at the 3rd anti-codon position. Lineage: Eukaryota; Metazoa; Chordata; Hyperoartia; Petromyzontiformes; Petromyzontidae. The record is from RNAcentral.